This 510-nucleotide ribosomal RNA is filed under the name uncultured bacterium. RNAcentral's name for it is "partial 16S ribosomal RNA". It matches the Rfam family "Bacterial small subunit ribosomal RNA", at positions 355 to 874 of the family's 1533-position model. The record is from RNAcentral.
UGGGGAAUAUUGCACAAUGGGCGCAAGCCUGAUGCAGCAACGCCGCGUGAGGGACGACGGCCUUCGGGUUGUAAACCUCUUUUAGUAGGGAAGAAGCGAAAGUGACGGUACCUGCAGAAAAAGCACCGGCUAACUACGUGCCAGCAGCCGCGGUAAUACGUAGGGUGCGAGCGUUGUCCGGAAUUAUUGGGCGUAAAGAGCUCGUAGGCGGUCUGUCGCGUCUGCUGUGAAAACCCGAGGCUCAACCUCGGGCCCCGCAGUGGGUACGGGCAGACUAGAGUGCGGUAGGGGAGAAUGGAAUUCCUGGUGUAGCGGUGGAAUGCGCAGAUAUCAGGAGGAACACCGAUGGCGAAGGCAGUUCUCUGGGCCGUAACUGACGCUGAGGAGCGAAAGCGUGGGGAGCGAACAGGAUUAGAUACCCUGGUAGUCCACGCCGUAAACGUUGGGCGCUAGAUGUGGGGACCAUUCCACGGUUUCCGUGUCGCAGCUAACGCAUUAAGCGCCCCGCCU